This 736-nucleotide long non-coding RNA is filed under the name Homo sapiens (human). Its description in RNAcentral is "HSALNT0087312". The record is from RNAcentral. Lineage: Eukaryota; Metazoa; Chordata; Mammalia; Primates; Hominidae.
ACGGUGGGUCCCAUAAGAUUAUAAUGGAGUUGAAAAAUGUUCAUGUCCAGUCAUGUUGUAGCUGUAGUAACAUUAUAGCACUAUUACUUUAUUUUUAAAAAUUAACUUAGUGUAGCCUAAAUGUACAGUUUUCAUAAAAUCAACAGCCGUGUACAGUAAUAUCCUAGGCUUUCCCAUUCACGUACCACUCACUGACUCAGCCAGAGCAGUUUUCAGUUCUGCAAGACUCCAUUCAUGAUGAAGAGAGGAAGCAUGAUUAAAGGCAUGUAAAAUGGAGCAUGUGUGGAGAGCAUUCGUGACAGCCCUUAUAGGCUUGAACUCUGUGAUGACCAGAGCUACACAUGAUAAUCUUUAGUGGAUCUGCAUCAUGAUUUUAUACAAAGGUAAGGAAGUGGUUUUUUUCUUUUGAUUUCAUUUCCAAAUUGAACAUAAUCAACAUUGUUAUUAUUUUUUUUGCUUGUAGGGAUACACUGGCCAGGUAUCUCUGAGAACAUCAUGUCCUGGUGCCUAGGUCUUUUUCCUGACAUUACAGAGUUCAAUACGCUUUAUGUACAGUUGGGAUUUUCAUUCCCAACUUUUAAGCAUAUUGUUACGGAAGUUUAACUGCUAGUUUUCGCUGAUUUAUGUAAUUUCCUAAAAUCCAUUUGCAGUUAUUCCCUGCUACAUACUGAGGAAAAGGAAGAAGGAGGAAUAGAUAAAUCUAGCGUCUCUCUUGAAAACCACAGUUUAUGCAAUG